Callithrix jacchus (white-tufted-ear marmoset) is the source of this 101-nucleotide Y RNA. It matches the Rfam family "Y RNA". Rfam says of the family: Y RNAs are components of the Ro ribonucleoprotein particle (Ro RNP), in association with Ro60 and La proteins. The record is from Ensembl. Lineage: Eukaryota; Metazoa; Chordata; Mammalia; Primates; Cebidae.
GGCUGGUCCCAAGAUAGUGAGUUAUCUCCGUUGAUUGUUCACAGUCAGUUACAGACCAAACUCUUUCCCCUCUUCUCACUACUGCACUGGACUAGUCUAAA